Molecule: ribosomal RNA, 253 nt
Filed under: uncultured bacterium
Lineage: Bacteria
Description: partial 16S ribosomal RNA
Rfam family: Bacterial small subunit ribosomal RNA
Source: RNAcentral
UACAGAGGUCCCAAGCGUUGUUCGGAUUCACUGGGCGUAAAGGGUGCGUAGGCGGUUUGAUAAGUCUGAUGUGAAAUCCCGCAGCUUAACUGCGGAACUGCUUUGGAAACUGUUUGACUAGAGGAAUGGAGGGGAGACUGGAAUACUUGGUGUAGCGGUGAAAUGCGUAGAUAUCAAGUGGAACACCAGUGGCGAAGGCGGGUCUCUGGACAUUACCUGACGCUGAGGCACGAAAGCGAGGGGAGCAAACGGG